GACGAACGCUGGCGGCGUGCUUAACACAUGCAAGUCGAACGGAAAGGCCCUGCUUGCAGGGUACUCGAGUGGCGAACGGGUGAGUAACACGUGGGUGAUCUGCCCUGCACUUCGGGAUAAGCCUGGGAAACUGGGUCUAAUACCGGAUAGGAGCCAUUUUUAGUGUGAUGGUUGGAAAGUUUUUUCGGUGUAGGAUGAGCUCGCGGCCUAUCAGCUUGUUGGUGGGGUAAUGGCCUACCAAGGCGGCGACGGGUAGCCGGCCUGAGAGGGUGGACGGCCACAUUGGGACUGAGAUACGGCCCAGACUCCUACGGGAGGCAGCAGUGGGGAAUAUUGCACAAUGGGCGCAAGCCUGAUGCAGCGACGCCGCGUGGGUGAUGACGGCCUUCGGGUUGUAAACUCCUUUCGCUAGGGACGAAGCUUUUGUGACGGUACCUAGAUAAGAAGCACCGGCUAACUACGUG
Molecule: ribosomal RNA, 464 nt
Filed under: uncultured bacterium
Lineage: Bacteria
Description: partial 16S ribosomal RNA
Rfam family: Bacterial small subunit ribosomal RNA
Source: RNAcentral